Molecule: ribosomal RNA, 484 nt
Filed under: uncultured bacterium
Lineage: Bacteria
Description: partial 16S ribosomal RNA
Rfam family: Bacterial small subunit ribosomal RNA
Source: RNAcentral
AUUGAACGCUGGCGGCAUGCUUUACACAUGCAAGUCGAACGGCAGCGCAGGCUUAGGCCUGUCGGCGAGUGGCGGACGGGUGAGUAAUGCAGCGGAACGUGCCCAGUAGUGGGUGAUAGCCCGGCGAAAGCCGGAUUAAUACCUCAUACGACCUGCGGGUGAAAGCGGGGGACCGAGAGGCCUCGCGCCAUUGGAGCGGCCGAUGUCGGAUUAGCUAGUUGGUGGGGUAAAGGCUUACCAAGGCGACGAUCCGUAGCUGGUCUGAGAGGAUGACCAGCCACACUGGGACUGAGACACGGCCCAGACUCCUACGGGAGGCAGCAGUGGGGAAUUUUGGACAAUGGGGGCAAGCCUGAUCCAGCCAUGCCGCGUGCGGGAAGAAGGCCUUCGGGUUGUAAAGCGCUUUUGUUCGGGAAGAAAUGCUCUGGGCUAAUACCCCGGGGGGAUGACGGUACCGGAAGAAUAAGCACCGGCUAACUACGUG